This 387-nucleotide unclassified non-coding RNA is filed under the name soil metagenome. RNAcentral describes it as "partial contains 5.8S ribosomal RNA, internal transcribed spacer 2, and large subunit ribosomal RNA". The stretch from base 1 to 120 matches the Rfam family "5.8S ribosomal RNA", at positions 35 to 154 of the family's 154-position model. The record is from RNAcentral.
GAUGAAGAACGUAGCGAAAUGCGAUAAGUAAUGUGAAUUGCAGAAUUCAGUGAAUCAUCGAAUCUUUGAACGCACAUUGCGCCCAUUAGUAUUCUAGUGGGCAUGCCUGUUCGAGCGUCAUUAAUUCCACUUAAGCCCUGCUUAGUGUUGGGAAUCUACUCUAGUGGUGCUACCCUGGAGCUACCCCUGAAAGGGGGCUGGCCCGGUAGCUACCCUGUAGUUCCUCAAAGAUAGUGCGCGGAGUUGCGUGGUCCUCUGAGCUUAGUAACUAUACACCUAGCUUUUGAGUGUCCCGCGGCGCCUGCCGUUUAAACCCCAUCUUUUAAUGGUUGACCUCGGAUCAGGUAGGAAUGCCCGCUGAACUUAAGCAUAUCAAUAAGCGGAGGA